Long non-coding RNA from Armigeres subalbatus, 390 nucleotides. RefSeq lists it as uncharacterized. NCBI's taxonomy places the organism in Eukaryota, Metazoa, Arthropoda, Insecta, Diptera, Culicidae. The transcript is spliced from 3 exons. The record is from RefSeq and is a predicted model, not a curated record.
AGGUGCUGCCAUCUAUGUCUGAGGUCGCGGGAGUUCAUUUUCGAAACAAAUUUAAGGUAAACCGUAUAUGGGAAUUUCAGUUCAUAAAAUCAAUAUGGUUCUCGAUAUGGACACUAGAGGGACUGUCAAAAUCAUUAUACAAUACAAAUGAAUUACCAAUACUUAUAAAAUAUAGACUUCUUGCUAGCAUGAUUGAACUAAUUCUUUCUUUCUGGCUCAAGACUUCAAGAAAGUUAGAAGUGCGCGGCGCGUGUUAAAAGUCGAGUUAUAGUUAUUCCUUAAAAGCUAAUUGUUAAAAAGCUUAAAAUAAAGUGUUAGUAGUGCAGUUAGUAAAUUAUUAAAGGGUGCUGUGUGGCUAAUAAAAGCGGUUCGCAUUCCAAGGGAAUUGCG